RNAcentral lists this ribosomal RNA (460 nucleotides) under uncultured bacterium. RNAcentral describes it as "partial 16S ribosomal RNA". It matches the Rfam family "Bacterial small subunit ribosomal RNA", at positions 338 to 795 of the family's 1533-position model. The record is from RNAcentral.
CCUACGUGAGGCAGCAGUGAGGAAUAUUGGUCAAUGGGCGCGAGCCUGAACCAGCCAAGUAGCGUGAAGGAUGACUGCCCUACGGGUUGUAAACUUCUUUUAUAAAGGAAUAAAGUGAGGCACGUGUGCCUUUUUGUAUGUACUUUAUGAAUAAGGAUCGGCUAACUCCGUGCCAGCAGCCGCGGUAAUACGGCGGAUCCGAUCGUUAUCCGGAUUUAUUGGGUUUACAGGGAGCGUAGGUGGGUUGUUAAGUCAGUUGUGAAAGUUUGCGGCUCAACCGUAAAAUUGCAAUUGAUACUGGCAGUCUUGAGUACAGGUGAGGUAGGCGGAAUUCGUGGUGUAGCGGUGAAAUGCUUAGAUAUCACGAAGAACUCCGAUUGCGAAGGCAGCUUACUAAACUGCCACUGACAUUGAUGCUCGAAAGUGUGGGUAUCAAACAGGAUUAGAUACCCGAGUAGUC